UAUUACCAAUGUUAUUUCAACUGAUCGGGCGGAGCUUACAUUUUAAUUUGCAUAAAGAAAGUCUAUUUGAAGAUGUGUGUGAUAAGGAUAAUUGCCGUUAUAAUUAUAACUGAUUUCUAAUCACCUAUCAGUGUCAUCAAAGGAAUUUACAAAAGAAUGACUGGACACUUCAUUGAUGAGUUAAUUCUAAAACACCAAUCUAUAGAUGGACUGGUUUAUUAUGAGCG
Molecule: long non-coding RNA, 227 nt
Filed under: Mytilus galloprovincialis (Mediterranean mussel)
Lineage: Eukaryota; Metazoa; Mollusca; Bivalvia; Mytilida; Mytilidae
Source: RNAcentral